Molecule: ribosomal RNA, 485 nt
Filed under: uncultured bacterium
Lineage: Bacteria
Description: bacterial SSU rRNA
Rfam family: Bacterial small subunit ribosomal RNA
Source: RNAcentral
CUACGUGCCAGCAGCCGCGGUAAUACGUAUGUCACAAGCGUUAUCCGGAUUUAUUGGGCGUAAAGCGCGUCUAGGUGGUUAUGUAAGUCUGAUGUGAAAAUGCAGGGCUCAACUCUGUAUUGCGUUGGAAACUGCAUGACUAGAGUACUGGAGAGGUAAGCGGAACUACAAGUGUAGAGGUGAAAUUCGUAGAUAUUUGUAGGAAUGCCGAUGGGGAAGCCAGCUUACUGGACAGAUACUGACGCUAAAGCGCGAAAGCGUGGGUAGCAAACAGGAUUAGAUACCCUGGUAGUCCACGCCGUAAACGAUGAUUACUAGGUGUUGGGGGUCGAACCUCAGCGCCCAAGCUAACGCAUUAAGUGCCCCGCCUGGGGAGUACGGCCGCAAGGCUAAAACUCAAAGAAAUUGACGGGGGCCCGCACAAGCGGCGGAGCAUGCGGAUUAAUUCGAUGCAACGCGAAGAACCUUACCAAGGCUUGACAUGC